GGACACAGGCAAACUGCUCAGUAACACGCCUUAUAAUCUGCCCUUACGUCAGGGACAACCUCAGGAAACCGAGGCUAAAACCUGAUACGGAAUUUCUACUGGAAGGUGUUUUUCUUUAAACUCGUGCGUAAGGAUGAGUCGGCGGUCGAUUAGGUUGUUGGUGAGGUAAUGGCUCACCAAGCCCACGAUCGGUACGGGCCCUGAGAGGGGUAGCCCGGAGAGGGACACUGAGAUACUGGUCCCAGCCCUACGGGGUGCAGCAGGCGCGAAACCUUUACAAUGCACGCAAGUGUGAUAAGGGAAUCCAAAGUGCUACACUUUUAGUAUGGCUUUUGCCAAGAGUAAAUAUCUUGGCGAAUAAGUGGUGGGAAAGACUUGUGCCAGCCGCUGCGGUAACACCAGCGCCACAAGUGGCAACCGCUUUUAUUGGGCCUAAAGCGUCCGUAGCCGGUUCUAUAAAUUUCCUGUGAAAUCGUUGUACUCAAUAUAACGACGUGCAGGAAAGACUGUAGAGCUAGGGACCGGGAGGCGUCAGAGGUAUUCUUGAGGGAGCGGUAAAAUGCUAUAAUCUCAAGAGGACCCCCUGUGGCGAAGGCGUCUGACGAGAACGGAUCCCAACGGUGAGGGACGAAAGCCAGGGGAGCGAACCGGGUCUAAUACCCAAGUAGUCCUGGCUGUAAACUCUGCGAGCUAGGUGUUGCAUUAUUCUUCGGGAAUAUGCAGUGUCGAAGCGAAGGUGUUCAACUCGCCGCCUGGGAAGUAUGGCGCAAGAAUGAAACCAAAUGAAUUGA
Molecule: ribosomal RNA, 791 nt
Filed under: uncultured euryarchaeote
Lineage: Archaea; Methanobacteriati; Methanobacteriota
Description: bacterial SSU rRNA
Rfam family: Archaeal small subunit ribosomal RNA
Source: RNAcentral